CCAGACUCCUACGGGAGGCAGCAGUGGGGAAUAUUGCACAAUGGGGGAAACCCUGAUGCAGCGACGCCGCGUGGGUGAAGAAGUAAUUCGUUAUGUAAAGCUCUAUCAGCAGGGAAGAAAAAAUGACGGUACCUGAGUAAGAAGCACCGGCUAAAUACGUGCCAGCAGCCGCGGUAAUACGUAUGGAGCAAGCGUUAUCCGGAUUUACUGGGUGUAAAGGGGGCGCAGUCGGCGAGGCAAGCCAGGAGUGAAAGCCCGGGGCCCAACCCCGGGACUGCUCUUGGAACUGGGUGGCUGGAGUGCAGGAGGGGCAGGCGGAAUUCCUGGUGUAGCGGUGAAAUGCGUAGAUAUCAGGAGGAGCACCGGUGGCGAAGGCGGCCUGCUGGACUGCAACUGACGUUGAGGCGCGAAAGCGUGGGGAGCAAACAGGAUUAGAUACCCCGGUAGC
This 448-nucleotide ribosomal RNA is filed under the name uncultured bacterium. RNAcentral's name for it is "bacterial SSU rRNA". It matches the Rfam family "Bacterial small subunit ribosomal RNA", at positions 331 to 794 of the family's 1533-position model. The record is from RNAcentral.